This is a non-coding RNA of Procambarus clarkii (red swamp crayfish), 372 nucleotides long. NCBI's taxonomy places the organism in Eukaryota, Metazoa, Arthropoda, Malacostraca, Decapoda, Cambaridae. The record is from RefSeq and is a predicted model, not a curated record.
GAAUAUGGGUAUCUUUUCAUAUACCUACUAUAUAGAUGCCACCCCUGUGACAGAAUAUGGAUUGGAAGUGCAGAACUUCAUCCUAGACUUUGAAGGUGUUGAUUGUUUGACAUUCAGAAUCGGGCAAGUGGUUCUAAUGAAGAUUACAAUGGUAUCAAAGCAGUGACUGGCUAAAGUGUGGCUGUUCUAAUAUGCACAUCUAUGAAGCUGGUUGUAGAGGGUCCUUCCAACAUAACCUCAGGAACUGUGUACAAAGCAAUUGCUGAAAGUAACAUGGUUGUCAGAAUUAGAUGGCAAAAACUAUAGAUUAGGAAGUCCAGAACAACAUCCCAGAGUUUGAAGGUGGUGUAUGCUCGACAUUCAGAAUCAGGC